Molecule: ribosomal RNA, 274 nt
Filed under: uncultured bacterium
Lineage: Bacteria
Description: partial 16S ribosomal RNA
Rfam family: Bacterial small subunit ribosomal RNA
Source: RNAcentral
AUACGAAGGGGGCUAGCGUUGUUCGGAUUUACUGGGCGUAAAGCGCACGUAGGCGGAUUGAUCAGUUAGGGGUGAAAUCCCGAGGCUCAACCUCGGAACUGCCUUUAAUACUGUCAGUCUCGAGACCGGAAGAGGUGAGUGGAACUCCUAGUGUAGAGGUGGAAUUCGUAGAUAUUAGGAAGAACACCAGUGGCGAAGGCGGCUCACUGGUCCGGUACUGACGCUGAGGUGCGAAAGCGUGGGGAGCGAACAGGAUUAGAUACCCUAGUAGUCC